GGAACCGUGCCCGAACACCCAGGGACCACUUUGAUGGAGUGGCUCAUGGGGGUUAAAAUCCCCCCAGUUCCU
Molecule: transfer RNA, 72 nt
Filed under: Schistura pridii
Lineage: Eukaryota; Metazoa; Chordata; Actinopteri; Cypriniformes; Nemacheilidae
Description: tRNA-Ile
Rfam family: tRNA
About the family: Transfer RNA (tRNA) molecules are approximately 80 nucleotides in length. Their secondary structure includes four short double-helical elements and three loops (D, anti-codon, and T loops).
Source: RNAcentral